AGGGGCAUAGCUCAGUUGGUAGAGCGACGGUCUCCAAAACCGUAGGCCGCGGGUUCGAGUCCUGCUGCCCCUGCCA
This 76-nucleotide transfer RNA is filed under the name Acidobacteriota bacterium. RNAcentral describes it as "Acidobacteria bacterium (activated sludge metagenome) tRNA-Trp". It matches the Rfam family "tRNA". Rfam says of the family: Transfer RNA (tRNA) molecules are approximately 80 nucleotides in length. The record is from RNAcentral. Lineage: Bacteria; Pseudomonadati; Acidobacteriota.